AUUGAACUCUGGCGGCGUGCCUAAUACAUGCAAGUCGAGCGAAGCGGGGACGGGUGAGUAACACGUCGAUAACCUCCUAUAAGACUGGGGUAACUUCGGGAAACCGGAGCUAAUACCGCUACUUAUAGAUGGAUCCGCUCUGCAUUAGCUAGUUUGUAAGGUAACGGCUGACCAAGGCAACGAUGCAUAGCCGAACUGAGAGGGUGAUCAGCCACACUGGAAGUGAGAAACGGUCCAGACUCCUACGGGAGGCAGCAGUAGGGAAUCUUCCGCCAUGGGCGAAAGCCUGACGGAGCAAUGCCGCGUGAGUGAUGAAGGUCUUCGGGUCGUAAAACUCUGUUAUUAGGGAAGCGGUACCUAAACAAGAAGCCACGGCUAACUACGUGCCAGCAGCCGCGGUAAUUC
RNAcentral lists this ribosomal RNA (405 nucleotides) under uncultured bacterium. RNAcentral's name for it is "partial 16S ribosomal RNA". It matches the Rfam family "Bacterial small subunit ribosomal RNA", at positions 30 to 526 of the family's 1533-position model. The record is from RNAcentral.